UCUGUUUUGCAUGCAGGAGAUGUGGGGUAGAGUCCCGCAGGUCUUA
RNAcentral lists this transfer RNA (46 nucleotides) under Crenicichla lacustris (pike cichlid). RNAcentral describes it as "partial tRNA-Ala". The record is from RNAcentral. Lineage: Eukaryota; Metazoa; Chordata; Actinopteri; Cichliformes; Cichlidae.